AUCAAUAUAACAAGAGGAAAGUCUGAAAAUUUUGCAUUUAAAAUGAAAAAAUUGUAAAAUGAGAAUCCAGUUGGACAAAAAGGUACAGAUGUAACAAUGAAAAUACAGGCUUCAGAAAUGCCAACCCUACCUGGUCAAAUAAUCCAUAACAUUGAGAUGGAAGUAAUCAUUUAUGCUGGGUUGGCAAUAUUGGUCUAGUAGCACCAGACCAGAAGAGAUUAAUAUGCCACAAUGCUGGCAUAUGCUGAGUGUUGCAAUGGCUAAUUACUAGGAUAUCUAACACACUGGAGUGGAACCAGAGCCCUGUGUUUAAGUACCUUCUACAGUGCUUGGGGACAGCUAGGUACCUUAUAGCAGGAUCCAGAACACAGCUGGUUAAUAGGAAGUUUUGAGGACAGCAGUGUAUUUCUGAUGCUGAAACCCCUCACUCAGGAUUACUGGGAGGUGUUUCUUUGUACUUAGAAUUCACUACCUGAAACUCUCCCACUAAUGUACGCUCCUACACUUUCUUUAAUAAAUGGAACAAGAUUCUUCUCUUUUUUAAAA
Long non-coding RNA from Alligator mississippiensis (American alligator), 546 nucleotides. RefSeq lists it as uncharacterized. The transcript is spliced from 2 exons. The record is from RefSeq and is a predicted model, not a curated record. Lineage: Eukaryota; Metazoa; Chordata; Crocodylia; Alligatoridae.